Molecule: ribosomal RNA, 253 nt
Filed under: uncultured bacterium
Lineage: Bacteria
Description: partial 16S ribosomal RNA
Rfam family: Bacterial small subunit ribosomal RNA
Source: RNAcentral
UACAGAGGUGCCAAGCGUUAGGCGGAAUCACUGGGCUUAAAGGGUGCGUAGGCGGGCUUGUAAGUCAGUGGUGAAAGCCCGGAGCUCAACUCCGGAACUGCCGUUGAUACUGCAAGUCUUGAGUGCACUUGAGGUGGGCGGAAUACAUCAUGUAGUGGUGAAAUACUUAGAUAUGAUGUAGAACACCGAUUGCGAAGGCAGCUCACUAAAUUGCAACUGACGCUGAGGCACGAAAGCGUGGGGAUCAAACAGG